Molecule: ribosomal RNA, 449 nt
Filed under: uncultured bacterium
Lineage: Bacteria
Description: partial 16S ribosomal RNA
Rfam family: Bacterial small subunit ribosomal RNA
Source: RNAcentral
AACGAACGCUGGCGGCAUGCCUAACACAUGCAAGUCGAACGAGAUCUUCGGGUCUAGUGGCGCACGGGUGCGUAACGCGUGGGAAUCUGCCCUUUGGUUCGGAAUAACAGUUGGAAACGACUGCUAAUACCGGAUGAUGACGAAAGUCCAAAGAUUUAUCGCCAGAGGAUGAGCCCGCGUAGGAUUAGCUAGUUGGCGUGGUAAAGGCCCACCAAGGCGGCGAUCCUUAGCUGGUCUGAGAGGAUGAUCAGCCACACUGGGACUGAGACACGGCCCAGACUCCUACGGGAGGCAGCAGUGGGGAAUAUAGGACAAUGGGCUAAAGCCUGAUCCAGCAAUGCCGCGUGAGUAAUGAAGGCCUUAGGGUUGUAAAGCUCUUUUACCCGGGAUGAUAAUGACAGUACCGGGAGAAUAAGCUCCGGCUAACUCCGUGCCAGCCGCCGCAGUAA